GAUGAACGCUGGCGGCGUGCCUAAUACAUGCAAGUCGAGCGAACAGACGAGGAGCUUGCUCCUCUGACGUUAGCGGCGGACGGGUGAGUAACACGUGGAUAACCUACCUAUAAGACUGGGAUAACUUCGGGAAACCGGCGCUAAUCCCGGAUAAUAUAUUGAACCGCAUGGUUCAAUAGUGAAAGACGGUUUUGCUGUCACUUAUAGCUGGUUCCGGGCCGCAUUAGCUAGUUGGGACGGUAACGGCUUACCAAGGCAACGAUGCGUAGCCGACCUGAUAGGGUGAUCGGCCACACUGGAACUGAGACACGGUCCAGACUCCUACGGGAGGCAGCAGUAGGGAAUCUUCCGCAAUGGGCGAAAGCCUGACGGAGCAACGCCGCGUGAGUGAUGAAGGUCUUCGGAUCGUAAAACUCUGUUAUUAGGGAAGAACAAAUGUGUAAGUAACUAUGCACGUCUUGACGGUACCUAAUCAGAAAGCCACGGCUAACUACGUG
RNAcentral lists this ribosomal RNA (497 nucleotides) under uncultured bacterium. RNAcentral's name for it is "partial 16S ribosomal RNA". It matches the Rfam family "Bacterial small subunit ribosomal RNA", at positions 28 to 507 of the family's 1533-position model. The record is from RNAcentral.